This 329-nucleotide ribosomal RNA is filed under the name uncultured eukaryote. RNAcentral describes it as "partial 18S ribosomal RNA". It matches the Rfam family "Eukaryotic small subunit ribosomal RNA", at positions 1470 to 1796 of the family's 1831-position model. The record is from RNAcentral.
CCCUUAGAUGUUCUGGGCCGCACGCGCGCUACACUGGUGCGUUCAACAAGUUUACAACCUUGAUUGACAAGUCUGGGUAAUCUUUUGAAUGCGCACCGUGCUAGGGAUAGAUUAUUGCAAUUAUUAAUCUUGAACGAGGAAUUCCUAGUAAACGCAAGUCAUCAGCUUGCAUUGAUUACGUCCCUGCCCUUUGUACACACCGCCCGUCGCACCUACUGAUUGAAUGACUCGGUGAAAAAUUGGGACCGUGAGAACAAUUGAUUCAUUUCAAAUGUACUCGUGGGAACUUUUUUUAACCUCGCCAUUUAGAAGAAGGUGAAGUCGUAACA